Molecule: ribosomal RNA, 253 nt
Filed under: uncultured bacterium
Lineage: Bacteria
Description: partial 16S ribosomal RNA
Rfam family: Bacterial small subunit ribosomal RNA
Source: RNAcentral
UACGUAGGGGGCUAGCGUUGUCCGGAAUCAUUGGGCGUAAAGCGCGCGUAGGCGGUCAGGUAAGUCCGGUGUGAAAGUCAAAGGCUCAACCUUUGAAUGCCGCUGGAAACUGCCUGACUUGAGUCCGGUAGGGGCGAGUGGAAUUCCUGGUGUAGCGGUGGAAUGCGCAGAUAUCAGGAGGAACGCCAAUAGCGAAGGCAGCUCGCUGGGACGUUACUGACACUGAGGCGCGAAAGCGUGGGGAGCGAACAGG